AGAGAAAUGUGAGGGUUGCUUUUGCAGCCACGUCACAGUGCAAUAGAGUCAUUUCAUAUUGUUUGACUUUUGACUUGGCACUUUGAGCCUCAAGUGAUUUUGGGAGAGGAGAAAUGGUCUGCUGGCCUUGCUGGAAAUUUUACCGGAAAAGCUUUGAUUUUAGAGAUUUCUGUCAUUCACACACUGUUUUUUUUGUUUGUUUGUUUGCUUUUUGGAUUUCAUACCACAAACGCAAACAAUACUUUUUCUUGGUUCACUGUUUUUCCCUACGAGUAAGAUAUGUGUUCAUUCAGAUUUUAGUUUGGUCGACAUCUCCAUAGUCUUAAACGGAACAUUUAAAUGAAAAAGUCGAAAACAUUUUCCAUGAUGUCAAUUGGGUUGAAAUUGUUUAAAAGAAUUCCUCUUUUAUCUUUUAUACACGUGGUAAUGGACCUGCUGAGUUCGGUAUUAAAAAAGUGUGUCUGGUUUGAUGGGGAUUGUGAAAGGCAUGGUAACAAUUAAGGGCUUAAUGUAAGCAAAGGGUGACUCAGAGAACUGAAACUUUACUCGGACUAGCUCAAAUGAGAGGAGACCACUUCUAACCAUCAGUCUGUUUGGUUUGUUUUUUUGGUUUAUUUUGCCAAUAGGGAAAUUAUUUUACUAAGAUAUUAGUGACAAAUGUCUGAAAAAUACACGGUACCAUUCAAACAAAGAUGAACACGUUUGCAGUAAAUUCCCAAAGUGUUGGGGUGGUUAAAACUUUGCAUUAUUGGUUUCAGCAAGGCGUUGCGUCAUCAUCCAGCCUUUUGAAACUGAAAUGUCAACAAGUAAGUUUCAGUUUUUUAUUUUUAACUUUUAAUUGCCUUCCUUUCUAUUUACCAAGCUAAAGAAGACAUACAAACACACAAGUGGUAUUAUAGUGUCCGUACUUGACUUUCGUGUAGCUUUGUUAAUUAUAGGUAAAGCUGGUGUCCACUUGCCUCUUCUCUGACAGCCCCACACCCUGGAGAGAUUAUAGAAAAAAAUCUAAUCUGAACUUCCAAUUGACCUUUGCUUUCAUUCUAACAUCGGAGUUGUGCAAGGAUGAAGCGCAACUGGUUUCUCAUUUAGGCGAUCAUAUUUAAGCAUUUAUAUAUUUAAAUCUCCAUCGAUGAUCAGUCUCCAUCUAAUGAACAUUGAAAUAUUUUAAUAUUAUAAUAAAUGGUGGGUAAGUGUCUUUCCCAAAGUCCUACAAUGUGAUUCAGAAAAUGUUCAGUUUCCUCAUUAUCAUUUGGAAAUGAUUAAAUGUGCACAUCCUUUGAGUGG
Molecule: long non-coding RNA, 1284 nt
Organism: Astatotilapia calliptera (eastern happy)
Lineage: Eukaryota; Metazoa; Chordata; Actinopteri; Cichliformes; Cichlidae
Source: Ensembl